UGGGAACGUGCCUUUUGGUUCGGAACAACCCAGGGAAACUUGGGCUAAUACCGGAUAAGCCCUUACGGGGAAAGAUUUAUCGCCAAAAGAUCGGCCCGCGUCUGAUUAGCUAGUUGGUGGGGUAAUGGCCCACCAAGGCUACGAUCAGUAGCUGGUCUGAGAGGAUGAUCAGCCACAUUGGGACUGAGACACGGCCCAAACUCCUACGGGAGCAG
RNAcentral lists this ribosomal RNA (215 nucleotides) under uncultured bacterium. RNAcentral describes it as "partial 16S ribosomal RNA". It matches the Rfam family "Bacterial small subunit ribosomal RNA", at positions 118 to 347 of the family's 1533-position model. The record is from RNAcentral.